Molecule: unclassified non-coding RNA, 200 nt
Filed under: soil metagenome
Description: partial contains internal transcribed spacer 2 and large subunit ribosomal RNA
Source: RNAcentral
GGGGGUUUUUGCUGCCUUCUGGCGGCUCCCCUUAAAUGAAUCGGUCGGGCUUUCGUGUGGCUUGUCCCUUGGCGUUGUAUCAACCUCGUCGCUGGAUGGCUCGCGAGCUUAGCGCCCCUCCAAGACCAGCCUCUGGAGCGGCGGUCAACUUCAAUUUGUGAUCUGACCUCAAAUCAGGUAGGACUACCCGCUGAACUUAA